Mesocricetus auratus (golden hamster) is the source of this 691-nucleotide long non-coding RNA. RefSeq lists it as uncharacterized. Lineage: Eukaryota; Metazoa; Chordata; Mammalia; Rodentia; Cricetidae. The record is from RefSeq and is a predicted model, not a curated record. The transcript has 3 exons.
ACCACCUACCAUCAACACUAAACUUGCACCAAGCCUAUAAGACACAGGCCUUUGGAGAACAUUCUCUAUUAAAACAAUAACAACAGAUGUGCUCAAAAGGAACCGAGUCUCCUAGAAAGCACAGCUUCAGCCAGAGGAGAAGAAUGAAGUUGAAUACUGGUUGAGAGACAGAUUUGGAACCAAUUGCAGAUACACAGACUGUCAGCUCCUGGAGAAAGCUGAAAGCAAAGACUUUGGAUGUGGAGCAGAGGCUCAGGCAACUUCACAGACAAGAACACAGAAAGAUUUUUAAGAAUCGGCGAGUGGGAGAAGACCAAUGAAAUGCUGCCUUCUUGACAUGACAUGGCUGCUGCAUGUGGUUAUUAGCACAAUAUCAAACCUGUCAGGAACCUCCAGCCAUCAACCAGGUACAGCUGCCUCACAGAAAGUAUGUGACUCAGGACCACUCUGCUACCUACCAAAUUCUAGAAACAGACCUGCGGCUUACCUAGGGCGUAGGCUUAAACAAUAGAAGGUGGAAUGUGAAAGAUAAAGUUAGAGUCUUCAAUUAGGUUACCAGAGGACACAGGAUGCCCUACCCAUCCCACUGACAUUCACUCUGCCAGGUUCAUUGCAGCUACAGCACAUCCCCCAUUCCUUCCCCUCCUCCUUUCCCCUAUAUAAAUCCCUUUGGAAUGAAUAAAAGUUUCAC